Molecule: non-coding RNA, 6930 nt
Organism: Podarcis lilfordi (Lilford's wall lizard)
Lineage: Eukaryota; Metazoa; Chordata; Lepidosauria; Squamata; Lacertidae
Source: the annotation of a GenBank genome assembly
CACAAGAUUUGAUCAAGUGUUCCCAUAUUGAUUCCUGAUACUCACUAAUGUCAGCCACAGUUAUUCUUGUGCCCGGCAAAACAAGUCUCUUCUUCAUGCAUAAGUCACUGACAGUCAAGGCAGAGGAAUGCAAGAGACACGGAGUGAAUGAACGAAAUUAAAAGCACAUUAAAAGGUGUUUGUAUUAAUGAAACCAGAAAGAAAUAAUAUGGUGUGGAGGAAACUGGAAAAACCCGCAAGGGGACGAUUUAGUAAAUAAAAGUAACAAAGGGCAGCUUUGUAGAGCCAGUAAUUUCAUUCUCGAUACCCAAGGAGCGUAACACGCAACUAGCAUGGAAGCCAAGUCAGCUUAACAGAAAACCAGGGAGCAGUUUAAUCACAUCAAAGGUCGUAAAAGGUUUUUUUUUAAAAAGGUAGAGGACCCCUGGAUGGUUAAGUCCAGUCAAAGGUGACUCUGGGGUUGCGGCGCUCAUCUUCCUUUCAGGCCAAGGGAGCCGGCGUUUGUCUUUCCAGGUCAUGUGGCCAGCAUGACUAAACUGCUUCUGGCGCAAUGGGACACUGUGACGGAAACCAGAGCACACAGAAACGCCGUUCACUUUCCUGCCACAGCGGUACCUAUUUAUCUACUUCCACUGGUGUGAUUUCGAACUGCUAGGUUUGCAGGAACUGGGACAGAGCAAUGGGAGCCCACUCCGUCGUGGGGAUUUGAACCGCUGACCUUCCGAUCGGCAAGCCCAAGAGGCUCAGUGGUUUAGCCCACAGCGCCACCCGCGUCCCUAGCAAAGGUCGUGCCACAUACAGACUGACGUAGCAAUCAGACCUCUGGGAAUUGUAGUUCAGAGAGGGAGAUUGGGGACCCCCAAACGACAUUUUCAGCAAUCUCACCAAAUGACAACUUCCAGUGUAGCUCCGUUGGUUAGAGCGUGGUGCUGAUAGCAUCAAGGUUGCAGGUUUUAGCCCCAUAUGGGACAGUUGCAUAUCCCUACACUGCUACAUAUCCCUGCAUUGCAGGGGGUGGACUUGAUGAUCCUCAGGGUCCCUUCCAACGCUAUGAUUCUAUGAAAUCUCCCACCUCGCCAAGCCCAUUUUCCAGGUAGGACUAUCCAAAUAUACAAAGGCCAAAUCUAAACAAAGCUAAGGGAGAACACCAGGAAUUUUGGGAAGGAAAUUGAUGUCGCUAAACUGAUACAAGACAGCUACAGAUUUGUAGACUAGAUAUUCCUUCAUUCAGACAGACACAAAUCCACUGAGGUCAGGAUUGGCUACCCCAGGAAUUGGAUAGAUUACCACAAAUUAAUCUGCUGAGGGUAAUCCUAACCCUGUCUACUGAGAAGUCAAUUCUAUUGAAUUGAUGCUGCUCACUUUCAGGUAAGUGGGGUGAAUAUGGCAGUCUGAAAAACCUAUCUGGAUUCAGAAACUCUAGUACAGUGGUACCUUGGUUGUCGAACUUAAUCUGUUCCAGGAGACCAUUCAACUUCCGGAAUGGUUCAAAAACCAAGUCGCAGCUUCCGAUUGGCUGCAGGAGCUUCCUGCAGCCAAUCAGAAGCCACAGAAGCAGCAUCAGACAUUUGGCUUCCAAAAAACGUUCGCAAACCGGAACACUCACUUGUGGGUUUGUGGCGUUUGGAAGCCAAAAUGUCGGAGAGCCAAGGCAUUGAACAACCAAGGUCUGACUGUAUUUAACAUCUUGGCUCCACCAGAUUCCCAGUCCUGCCACUUUCCAAUCGACACAUUGGGGCUCGACAUCAGCAGCAGGCAGGCUGCUGCAUUCCUCCUUUUCUAAAAAUAUUGAUUAUCAACCAAAUGUUUGGAGAGCUAGUCCUUUGAUCAUGCUGGUACAAUUCAGACUGCUCAUAUUUAUAUCACUAAGAAUUUAGUAGCUCAUUGCUUCCUCGUGCCACCGUCUAAGACUCUGGAAGAGGUCUGGGUGGGGCUCAGGCCAGUUUGUCAAUGUGUCCCUGAAUUUGCUUUUUGAAAGGAACAUCUAGUUCAGCCGCCCCGGGGCACCAGGCUACCUUCCCAGAUGCGAGGCAUCAGAGACCCAAGACUGAUUACAAAGUACAAACUUAAUAGAGGAAACACAGAUAAAUUGCCCAAAGAGUCCAAAGUCUAAAGAUUCCUCGGCUUGACUGCAUGGGAGACCACAAAUCUCUGGGUGCAGCUUGGUGUAAAAGGAAUGAGAAACAGCUUCCCUUUCUGUAAGAAUGAGACAGAAGGUUUCAGGCCAAUUCAUAUACUACAAUCAAUUGCAGAAUUAAUGGGCACACUGUACUACACACUUUUCUAAAGGUAAGCCCCAUUGAUCACCUAAAAAUAUGCCUACACAGAUUUAGUGCAGUGCAUUUGGGGAAUUUAUUAACAUAUCUGCUUAAAGGUAAAAAGGUAAAGGUAAAGGACCCCUGGACGGUUAAGUCUGGUCAAAGGCGACUAUGGGGUUGCGGUGCUCAUCUCGCUUUCAGGCCAAGUGAGCCAGCGUUUGUCGACAGAUAACUUUCCGGGUCAUGUGGUCAGCAUGACUAAACCACUCCUGGCACAACAGAACACUGUGAGGGAAGACAGAGCACACGGAAACGCCAUUUACCUUCCUGCCACAAUGGUACCUAUUUAUCUACUUGCACUGGCGUGCUUUCGAAUUGCUAGGUUGGCAGAAGCUGGGGCAGAGCAAUGGGAGCUCACCCCGACAUGGGGAUUCGAACCGCCGACAUUCCGAUUGGCAAGCCCAAGGGGCUCGGUGGUUUAGACAACAGUGCCACCCGUGUCCCAUUGAUCACCUCAAAGUAUGUCCUACACAGACUUAGGGCAAUGCAUUAACAUAUCUUGUUAAAACAAUUAGUUAGGUAGGUAAUGUGGUUUUUGUUUCAGUGUUUACUGCCUCACUGAGCAAAGGUCAUGGCUGGAAAAGGGCUAUUAAAUGAUUACAUUAUUUCAUCUGGUCUGCAGUAGAUUCUGUGCCCCAACAGUAUUGUCUCAGGUCAGAUGAAAAGCGAGCCCCAGAACUGCUAACCAAAGGGAGCGAUCUUAUUUAUCACAUUUGCAUCCGUUCCAUCCUCCAAACUUAGGCUGGCAGAUACUGGAUUAUCUUCGCAAGAACCUCUGGGUCCAAAAGAGAUGCUGACCCACCCACAGCCAUACAAUAAGCUUCAUGGCUGAGCUUGGAUUUAAGGGAAAUCUGGAAAGUCCAGCUCUCCAUCACUCUUGCUUUCCUUUCAUUCAUUCAUUUGUCUUCCCGGGUUUAGAGUUCUCAUGAUCAGCUGGAGAAGCGCCAGAUCUGGACGAAUGGGCAACGAUACCUCUGGCACAAAACUUUUGAGAGCGGAAGCAGUCUUGAAAGUGGGAUUGUGUAUAACCACCCUGAUACCAUCAUGAGCACAAAUCACCAUGAUUGCAUGAUAAUAAGGAUAUAUGGACAGUUUUGUGGUUAAUUAAUGUGUGGUCCAAACACUUUUUAUUCCAACCUGGGUUGAGCUAUGCAAGUAACAAAGUGGUUAUCCAAGCAGGAAAUCAGAAAUCCUAACUCCAUUCUUCCCACUGCUACAUGACCUGGAAUUCUCCCCCCAAAAUAGCAUCCUGGAUUACAGUGGUACCUCGGAUUACAUACACUUCAGGUUACAAACUCCGCUAACCCAGAAAUAGUGCUUCAGGUUAAGAACUUUGCUUCAGGAUGAGAACAGAAAUCGGGCUCCGGCGGCGCGGCAGCAGCAGGAGGCCCCAUUAGCUAAAGUGGUGCUUCAGGUUAAGAACAGUUUCAGGUUAAGUACGGACCUCCGGAAUGAAUUAAGUACUUAACCCGAGGUACCACUGUAUUUCUCGGAAAUCGGGCAAAUGUCCCGGAAAACCGGCAACGGGGGUUAAAUCGUGACGAAAAUGCCAAAAACAGCUGCAGAACUCAAAAUUCUCGUAGCUUUUGCUCAACACUUUCGGGGUGUCCUGCUUUUUACUUGGCACCCCUACAAAACAAAACUCUCCUGAAAGACCACAGGAGGGCGUGAGGAGCAAUUUAUUUCUGAAAUCUUAAGGAGGCAGCUGAUGAUUUACUUUUAUGAAUCUUACAAGGUAGACAAAGGUUUCUCAUUUCUUCCCUGCUUUUCUAACUUAAUAAAAAUGCUGUGCUUCUCACAGGCCUCUCAGUUGCACUUCCUGGAACAUUUUGGGAGCAACGCCAUCAUCUCACGUGGCACUGAGUCGCUCUCAAGACGUUCAAAGCAAUGUGCCCACACAGAGUGGCACAGCUUCCUGCCAGCCAAACCUCCUGGUGGGACCCAGUAAGAUCAGUAACAGCCCCCUCCCAAAACUUUCAGAGAUCAGACUCUCCUGGCACUAAGGAAUCCUUGUUAAUUCUAUUGGGGAAACACGCACGUUUGAGCAGGACUUCCGCAAUCAAAAUUUCAGGGAUGGCUUCAUGCUAUAAAGCAGGGUUGUUUAAUGCGUGGCCCAAGGGCCACAUGCGGCCCUCGAGGCCUUUUUUUGGCAGCCCUUGACAACAUUGCACACACCCCAUAGCCCUUGUGUUGCCUUCCCAAAGCCUAUGAUCUGGGUGAGGAAACUUUAAAAGCAGCUUUUGAUAUAGCAUUGCGGGGAUCCAAGUGGGGGAAUGCUGGAUCCCAGCCAGUAUUAAGAGAGCGAGUGUUACUUGUAGUUCUGAAAAUAUGAAACCUAGAUUCUUUGUUGCACAACACAGAAUCUGUUGAGCUUUCAUGCGGCAGAGUGAAACGAAACUUCAAACUGUCCUACAGAUCGCCGAUAAGAUUUUCACCUAAUUUCUUUCACACACAAAAAACCCAACCACCUACAACUUUGAACCUUGGAGCUUUGUACUCAAACUGGAAUCUCUUAUUUUAAUAGCAUGCAAUUAAGUAAUUUGCCCACUAUAGAUAAAAUUGCUCUUAAGGAGAUGUAGCUUCGGGAGACAAAGUCGACGUAUGAAAAGCUGGAAACGCUCCCAGAGUAAGCUGGCGAUAAAAGUCUGACAAGGCUGUUUUUGUUAAUCUCUCAUGGCCACGAUCCAGCACUUAAACCCAUCAAACUUAAUGGGCUGGCUUGUGCUUAACCGUGUGAUGGACUGUGGCUUUUGUAUGUGAGAAAGAUUUCUAGUUUCUAACUCUCAAAAUGGAUUAGCAUUUAUUUUAGAUGAUAGAUAGAUAGAUAGAUAGAUAGAUAGAUGAUAAGUGAUAGAUAGAUAUGAGAUUCUAUUCCAUCAACGGUGUCUCCGAAAAAGUUUACACAUCACUUGGGAAGACAGGCCAACUAAUGCCAGUGUACUGAAAGAAGCAAAGAUCACCAGUGUAAAAGCGAUGAUUCUUCAACAUCCACUUCGUUGGACUAGUCAUGUUGUUCAGAUGCCUGAUUAUCGUCUUCCAAACCAACUACUCUAUUCUGAACUUAAAAAUGGACAGCGUAAUGCUGGUGGUCAACAAAAGAGUUUUAAAGACUCUCUCAAGGCAAAUCUUAAAAAUGUAGUAUAAACACCGACAACUCAAAAACACUGGCCUGUGAACACUCCAAUUGGAGAACAGCCUUUACCAAAGGUGUCAUGGACUUUGAAGACACUCAAACUCAGGAGGAAAGGGAGAAAUGUGCUAAGAGGAAGGCACGCUUGCCAAACCCUCACCAUGAUCAACUCCUGCCCAGAAACCUAUGUCCCUACUGUGGAAGGAUGUGUUGAUCCAGAAUUGGCCUCCACAGUCACUUACAGACUCACUGUUAAAACCGUGUUCAUGGAAGACAAUCUUACUUGGCUAUGAGUGAUCGCCAAAGAAGAUAUGAAACUGCCUUAAGUUAUACUGAGACUAGUCAGUAGUUCAUCUAGUUCAGUACAGUGGUAUCUCGGGUUACAUACACUUCAGGUUACAGACUCCGCUAACCCAGAAAUAGUACCUCGGGUUAAGAACAGGAUGAGAACAGAAAUUGCGCGGCGGCGGCGCAGCAGCAGCAGGAGGCCCCAUUAGCUAAAGUGAUGCUUCUGGUUAAGAACAUUUUCAGGUUAAGAACAGACCUUCAGAACGAAUUAAGUCUGUAACCAGAGGUACCACUGUAGUGCCUUCUCUGACUGGCAACAGCUUACCAGUCUCUUAGGCAGCUGUCUUCACCUGUUCUCCCCAUUAAAAUGCAUUUUACAUAAUAUAAUAAUUUGGGAACUUGAGAAUCAGUUUUGCGGUUCAACCCUAACUGUUAAGAGUGUCAGACUCGGACCAGAGAGGCCAGAUUUCAAAUUCUCACUCAGAUGCAAAGCUCAUUGGGAUAUUCUCAGCCUAAUCUCCCUCACAGGGAUGUUUUGAAGAUAAAAUGAAAGAGGGGGAACUAUGUACAUCACCACGAGUCCUUGCAUUAAUGUGGUAGUUAUAAUGGUAUGGGGUUGCUCGUGCGUAAGUUGCCGCCUCUCCUGGCUAUGUUGCCUGGUUAAACCUUUCUGUCUGGCCAGCCCUUCAAUUCGUGACUGCCUCAGUCGCUAGCAGAAUCCGUCAGUGGGCGUUUCUUAAACCUUUUCCAACAUAAAAGUUGUUUGACACCCAGUCUCCUCCUACUUUCUCUGCGCGGAAGUCUUCUGCGCAGGGAGGGCAUGGGUAGCGGAGGACCAGUGCUCUCCCCGCUGGUGUCCGGUGAAGAGUCCUGGAGCCCUCUCGCCGAUUCCCCCAUCUGCCCCUCCUUAUUCCUGGUGUUGCACUGAAUUGCUUCCCCAUCUGCUGAGCUGCCUCUCUCCCUGCUGGGCCCUUCUCCAGCAUCAUUAGAGAGCCUUCCCUCCACCUCUAGCUCCGAUGUCAGUUCCCUGACAGUAGUUCAUGUAGUAAAUAGACAAAUCCACAAUCUCUGAAAAACAACAUCUUAUGUAUUUUUUUACCCAAUGUAUUGUUAUGUAUUGUUACACCUUAUGUAUUGUUUUCCCUUUUCCCUUUUACUGUUCCAUUCUGAGCAUAAAAGUAUCUUCACUCUUCU